RNAcentral lists this non-coding RNA (67 nucleotides) under Paraburkholderia susongensis. RNAcentral describes it as "Fluoride sequence". It matches the Rfam family "Fluoride riboswitch aptamer (crcB RNA motif)". The record is from RNAcentral. Lineage: Bacteria; Pseudomonadati; Pseudomonadota; Betaproteobacteria; Burkholderiales; Burkholderiaceae.
GAAUUCAGUGGAGAUGGCAUUCCUCCCGAACCGCCGGUCAAGUCCGGCUGAUGAUGCCUACGAGUUC